AUUGAACGCUGAAGGCAGGAUUAAGACACGCAAGACGAGCGAGCGGCGGACGGGUGAGUAAUGUAUGGGAAACUGCCUGUUGGAGGGGGAUAACUAAUGGAAACGGUAGCUAAUACCGCAUACCAUCAGAUGUGCCCAGAUGGGAUUAGCUAGUAGGUGGGGUAAUGGAUCACCUAGGCGACGAUCCCUAGCUGGUCUGAGAGGAUGACCAGCCACACUGGAACUGUGACACGGUCCAGACUCCUACGGGAGGCAGCAGUGGGGAAUAUUGCACAAUGGGCUCAAGCCUGAUGCAGCCAUGCCGCGUGUUUUAAGCAGGCCUUCGGGUUGGAAAGCUCUGUCGGCUAUAAGACGUUACUCGCACAAGAAGCACCUGGUAACUCCGUGGCAGCAGCCGCGGUAAUUC
RNAcentral lists this ribosomal RNA (406 nucleotides) under uncultured bacterium. Its description in RNAcentral is "partial 16S ribosomal RNA". It matches the Rfam family "Bacterial small subunit ribosomal RNA", at positions 30 to 526 of the family's 1533-position model. The record is from RNAcentral.